This 474-nucleotide ribosomal RNA is filed under the name uncultured organism. RNAcentral describes it as "partial 16S ribosomal RNA". It matches the Rfam family "Bacterial small subunit ribosomal RNA", at positions 333 to 798 of the family's 1533-position model. The record is from RNAcentral.
ACACUCCUACGGGAGGCAGCAGUGGGGAAUUUUGGACAAUGGGCGAAAGCCUGAUCCAGCCAUGCCGCGUGCAGGAUGAAGGCCUUCGGGUUGUAAACUGCUUUUGUACGGAACGAAACGGCCUUUUCUAAUAAAGAGGGCUAAUGACGGUACCGUAAGAAUAAGCACCGGCUAACUACGUGCCAGCAGCCGCGGUAAUACGUAGGGUGCAAGCGUUAAUCGGAAUUACUGGGCGUAAAGCGUGCGCAGGCGGUUAUGUAAGACAGUUGUGAAAUCCCCGGGCUCAACCUGGGAACUGCAUCUGUGACUGCAUAGCUAGAGUACGGUAGAGGGGGAUGGAAUUCCGCGUGUAGCAGUGAAAUGCGUAGAUAUGCGGAGGAACACCGAUGGCGAAGGCAAUCCCCUGGACCUGUACUGACGCUCAUGCACGAAAGCGUGGGGAGCAAACAGGAUUAGAUACCCGUGUAGUCCCAU